CUGUCUCCUGUCAGCAAAAGCAUCAAAUAUUUUUCAGUAGCAGCGUUUGUGAAUUCAGAGUCCUGCACUACUGACACCCUGGUGACAUUUUUUUUAUGUGAAAGUCAGAGAGAGAGAGAGAGAGAGAGAGAGAGAGAGAGAGAAGGGGGUGGGGUCUUCCAUCUGCUGAUUCACUUUCCAAAUGGCUGCAACGGCCAGAGCUGAGCCGAUCAGAAACCAGGAGCCGGAUGCUUCUUCUAGGUCUCCCACUGCUUUCCCAGGUGCAUCGGCAGAGAGCUGGGCCAGAAGUGGAGCAGCCGGGACCAAGCCUGUGUCCACAUGAGAUGUCCAUGCCACAAGUGGCGGCUUUACCCACUGUGCCACAGCGCUGGCCCCUCAGCCUAGUAACUUUAAAGAAAACAUAUACAUAAAAUCUGAACUCUAGAAGUGGAGAAUUAGCCUUAGGAAUGAUCAGACUGAUUCCACAGAUGGAGAAACUGAGGCAGGGCACAUCAAGGGUGCGUUCUCUUGGGAACAUGAUGGAGCCCUGAUGGAGGUACUUGGCGCUCACAGCUCACCUGCAGCCUAUGUCUGCUACACGAAUUCACUGUCUACCUGAACCUCCACCCAACCUGUUUGUACACUCGGAAAACCCAACGAGAGCCCGGGCUCGGGAGAUCCUCGUGGCAACACUGCAGCCUGCAGGCAGCUGAGUUUGGAAGAGCAAAGAUGAGAAACACCCAGACUCCCAUCAGUAGGGAACUGUUUCAACGCCUGACGGAAAGCUGUACCCUCUGUGUGACACAGCCUUCACGUGAGAAGGAGGACACCAUGGACGUACGGGCUUGGAGCAUCCCCAAGGAAAACCAUGUCUGUGCCAAAGAAAGGAGUAUCAUGUUCUUGACUCUUGAGGUCGUCAAGAUUUCCCAGCCUACAACAUGUUUAAAUCUAAGCCCUAUAGUUUCAAAAUUGAACUCGACAUUUAUAUAAUAAAAACACUUCCCGAUGUGGCCUUCUCCUUCAAAACAAGAACCAGGCCAAGGAAGCUCAACUCCAAGGUGAGACUAUGUGCAAUGUCAGCACGUCUGCAUGUCCUCCUGGUCUGGGAAGCACUCAUCUCUAUGCACUUUUUACAGCGCCACUGUCCUCUAUUCCCACGAGAAGACGCUGCACCAGCAAAUGGCAGCAGAACACAACACAAAGUCCUAAGUACACAUUCAAAUAGUAAAAGUGCUUGUUAGCAAUGAAUUUUAUUCAUUCACCUUAUUAGAGCUGUAAGUGGGGAGACUUCCAGUUUCCAGUCCGGCACCCAGAAAGCAUAGAGCCCAUCACUUCUGACCUCAAAACAAGGACCAAGCCAAACCAAAUGAAAAUCAACUACUCUUCUCUUCACUCAUUCCUGAUAGGAACGCAAAAUGGAACAGCCACUUUGGAGGACGGUGUCACAGCUUCUUAGGGAGCUAACCACACUCAUCAUUCAACUCAGCAGUUGCUACUUACCCAAAUGAGGUACAACUUUUCUCAUCGCAAAGCACCUGCAUAUAGGUGUUGCUAGCAGUCUGAUUCACACCUCCAAAACUCGCCUACAGCAAGGUCCCUUGGAUAGGUGAAUAAGCAGUAUUACAUCAAUACUCAGUGAUUUAAAAAAAAAAAAAAAAAAGCUGAGCUAUCCCACUACAAAGACAUGGAAAAAGCAUAAGAGCAUCUUUGCUAAAUGCAGGAAGCCCGUCUGAGAAGGCUACACGGUGUGUGACUUCACCCAUCUGACAUUCCAGGAAGGUAAAACUGCAGAGACAGGAAACUGGGCAGGGGUUUCCAGGGGUUGGAAAUGUACAAAGCAGGACAAAUGUACAAAAUGUAAGCUGCAGGACAUUAAUAAUACAGCAAACUGAGAGAGGGCAAGCAGGAAAAUGGGAACUCGGUUUUCUGCGAACCUAAACUUGGAUAUAAUGAGCCAUAAAAAAUAGUAAAGCAGCAUUCUCAAAGGGCCCAGCGACUGCGCAUCUGGGUAUGGACCCAGAAGUCCCAACAGCAAGGACUCAAAGAGAUACCUCAGCUCCACUGUCACGUCAGCAUCAUUCCAAAGAGCCCAAACAUGGAAGCAACCCAAGGGCCCAGCCAGGGAUGAAGCCAUAAACAAAAUGUGGUAUGCCCACGCAAUGGAAUACUACUCAGCCAGAAAAGGUAAGGAAUUCCUAACACAUUCUACAACUACUACCCAAACAGUGCUCUAUACUCUGUGUGUCUUUGUGGGUACAGUCAGUUGAAAUCUUCACUUAGUAUAUACUAAGUUGAUCUUCUGUAUAUAAAGAUAAUUGAAAAUGAAUCAUGAUGAAGAAUGGGAUGGG
Oryctolagus cuniculus (rabbit) is the source of this 2327-nucleotide non-coding RNA. The record is from RefSeq and is a predicted model, not a curated record. NCBI's taxonomy places the organism in Eukaryota, Metazoa, Chordata, Mammalia, Lagomorpha, Leporidae.